GCCGUGAGGUGUCAGGUUAAGUCCUAUAACGAGCGCAACCCCUGUUGUUAGUUGCCAGCGAGUCAAGUCGGGAACUCUAACAAGACUGCCAGUGCAAACUGUGAGGAAGGUGGGGAUGACGUCAAAUCAGCCCGCCCUUACGCCUUGGGCUAUACACGUGCUACAAUGGCCGGUACAGAGAGCAGCCACUGGGUGACCAGGAGCGAAUCUAUAAAACCGGUCACAGUUCGGAUCGGAGUCUGCAACCUAAGCUCCGUGAAGCUGGAAUCGCUAGUAAUCGGAUAUCAGCCAUGAUCCGGUGAAUACG
RNAcentral lists this ribosomal RNA (307 nucleotides) under uncultured Bacteroidota bacterium. Its description in RNAcentral is "bacterial SSU rRNA". It matches the Rfam family "Bacterial small subunit ribosomal RNA", at positions 1064 to 1370 of the family's 1533-position model. Lineage: Bacteria; Pseudomonadati; Bacteroidota. The record is from RNAcentral.